RNAcentral lists this ribosomal RNA (253 nucleotides) under uncultured bacterium. RNAcentral describes it as "partial 16S ribosomal RNA". It matches the Rfam family "Bacterial small subunit ribosomal RNA", at positions 524 to 776 of the family's 1533-position model. The record is from RNAcentral.
UACAGAGAGUGCAAACGUUGUUCGGAAUUACUGGGCUUAAAGCGCACGUAGGCGGCGCCGCAAGUGUUGGGUGAAAUCCCACGGCUUACCCGUGGAACUGCCCAGCAGACUGCGGUGCUAGAGGAUGGUAGGGGAGAGCGGAACUCCUGGUGGAGCGGUGAAAUGCGUAGAUAUCAGGAGGAACACCGGUGGCGAAGGCGGCUCUCUGGUCCAUUUCUGACGCUGAGGUGCGAAAGCUAGGGGAGCAAACGGG